Molecule: ribosomal RNA, 995 nt
Filed under: uncultured bacterium
Lineage: Bacteria
Description: bacterial SSU rRNA
Rfam family: Bacterial small subunit ribosomal RNA
Source: RNAcentral
UGGGGAAUAUUGCACAAUGGGGGAAACCCUGAUGCAGCGACGCCGCGUGGAGGAAGAAGGUCUUCGGAUUGUAAACUCCUGUUGUUGGGGAAGAUAAUGACGGUACCCAACAAGGAAGUGACGGCUAACUACGUGCCAGCAGCCGCGGUAAAACGUAGGUCACAAGCGUUGUCCGGAAUUACUGGGUGUAAAGGGAGCGCAGGCGGGAAGACAAGUUGGAAGUGAAAUCUAUGGGCUCAACCCAUAAACUGCUUUCAAAACUGUUUUUCUUGAGUAGUGCAGAGGUAGGCGGAAUUCCCGGUGUAGCGGUGGAAUGCGUAGAUAUCGGGAGGAACACCAGUGGCGAAGGCGGCCUACUGGGCACCAACUGACGCUGAGGCUCGAAAGUGUGGGUAGCAAACAGGAUUAGAUACCCUGGUAGUCCACACCGUAAACGAUGAUUACUAGGUGUUGGAGGAUUGACCCCUUCAGUGCCGCAGUUAACACAAUAAGUAAUCCACCUGGGGAGUACGACCGCAAGGUUGAAACUCAAAGGAAUUGACGGGGGCCCGCACAAGCAGUGGAGUAUGUGGUUUAAUUCGACGCAACGCGAAGAACCUUACCAAGUCUUGACAUCCCUUGACAGGCAUAGAAAUAUGUUUUCUCUUCGGAGCAAGGAGACAGGUGGUGCAUGGUUGUCGUCAGCUCGUGUCGUGAGAUGUUGGGUUAAGUCCCGCAACGAGCGCAACCCUUAUGGUCAGUUACUACGCAAGAGGACUCUGGCCAGACUGCCGUUGACAAAACGGAGGAAGGUGGGGAUGACGUCAAAUCAUCAUGCCCUUUAUGACUUGGGCUACACACGUACUACAAUGGCGUUAAACAAAGAGAAGCAAGACCGCGAGGUGGAGCAAAACUCAGAAACAACGUCCCAGUUCGGACUGCAGGCUGCAACUCGCCUGCACGAAGUCGGAAUUGCUAGUAAUCGCAGAUCAGCAUGCCACGGUGAAUACGUUCCC